AUGCACGCUGGCGGCGUGCCUCAUCCAUGCAAGUCGCGCGAACGGACGAGAAGCUUGCUUCUCUGAUGUUAGCGGCGGACGGGUGAGUAACACGUGGAUAACCUACCUAUAAGACUGGGAUAACUUCGGGAAACCGGAGCUAAUACCGGAUAAUAUUUUGAACCGCAUGGUUCAAAAGUGAAAGACGGUCUUGCUGUCACUUAUAGAUGGAUCCGCGCUGCAUUAGCUAGUUGGUAAGGUAACGGCUUACCAAGGCAACGAUGCAUAGCCGACCUGAGAGGGUGAUCGGCCACACUGGAACUGAGACACGGUCCAGACUCUUACGGGAGGCAGCAGUAGGGAAUCUUCCGCAAUGGGCGAAAGCCUGACGGAGCAACGCCGCGUGAGUGAUGAAGGUCUUCGGAUCGUAAAACUCUGUUAUUAGGGAAGAACAUAUGUGUAAGUAACUGUGCACAUCUUGACGGUACCUAAUCAGAAAGCCACGGCUAACUACGUG
RNAcentral lists this ribosomal RNA (496 nucleotides) under uncultured bacterium. RNAcentral describes it as "partial 16S ribosomal RNA". It matches the Rfam family "Bacterial small subunit ribosomal RNA", at positions 29 to 507 of the family's 1533-position model. The record is from RNAcentral.